CGACGUUAAGCUUGACGUCGUCGCCCUCACUGAGGGAGGCCUGCGCGUCAUCGGCCGGUGGGAUCCGAUCGGAGGCGCGAAUUUCACGCUACCUGGUGACUCUGCCGCACGUCGAGCGGUGAAAUCGAUGCGUAACUCGCAACUCAAAAUCCUGUCCAUUCUGUCGCCCCCUUUCGCCAUGAGGGCAG
This is a long non-coding RNA of Hyalella azteca, 188 nucleotides long. RefSeq lists it as uncharacterized. The record is from RefSeq and is a predicted model, not a curated record. The transcript is spliced from 3 exons. Lineage: Eukaryota; Metazoa; Arthropoda; Malacostraca; Amphipoda; Hyalellidae.